Molecule: unclassified non-coding RNA, 539 nt
Filed under: Hevea brasiliensis (rubber tree)
Lineage: Eukaryota; Viridiplantae; Streptophyta; Magnoliopsida; Malpighiales; Euphorbiaceae
Source: RNAcentral
AGUGGGAAACACAAUUCAUUAAAAAAUGCAUACAAGGAAAACAGAUAAAUUCAUGAACAUUGAGAAUUGAACAUGGAAUGCCAUAGAUGUAUGAGGCAUCUAUGGAAACCUUGCCAAUUCAUUUACAACCUUUUUUUAUUUCGUGGGCAAGAGAGUUUUAUUCGUGAUAAUAAAGAAAAAUGAGAGGAUACAGAGAACUAACAUAAAAUUAAUCCAUGAUCAAAAGCCCGAGUUAAUUAGAUUUGAUGUGGUAACUCUAAUUAAUCUACAAUUAACACAACUUAAUUUUAAAGGAUUCCAAGGUGUCAUUUCGCUUAGUUCUAGUAUGAUUACAUUGCAAUGAUUCACAAUUAAGUGUUAAGAGUAGUUAUAAGAACAAUAGAUCUAUCUUAAUAUUAACAUUCUCUUUAUGUCCUGUUUGAGAGAGCUAAAGUAAAAUAAGUUUUUUUAAACAAAAUAUUUAAAAAUAAAAUUUUCAUGAUUUUUAAAUUUUUAUAAUUUUUUUAUAGUUUGAAAUAAGAGAUUUUUUUUUAAAGAUA